AGUUAAAAAGCUCGUAGUUGAAUUUCUAGUUAAUUAAUAUUUUGGUUCGCCUUGUAUUAGUUAGCUAUCCGACAAUGAACCAUGUCGGUUAUUAAGUUAACCCCAUGGAGAACUGUCAUUUUACUUUGAAAAAAUUAGAGUGUUUCAGGCAGGCAAUUGCCCGAAUAUCUUAGCAUGGAAUAAUGGAAUAGGACUUUGGUUCAUUUUAUUGGUUAUUGAAUCAGAGUAAUGAUUAAUAGGGACAGUUGGGGGCAUUAGUAUUUAAUUGUCAGAGGUGAAAUUCUUGGAUUUAUUAAAGACUAUCUUAUGCAGAAAGCAUUAUGCCAAGGGUGUUUUCAUUAAUCAAGAACGAAAGUUAGGGGAUCGAAGACGAUCAGAUACCGUCCUAGUCUUGACUAUAAACUAUACCGACUCAGGAUUGGCCAUGUCUUAACUUGGUCAGCACUGUAUGAGAAAUUAAAGUCUUUGGGUUCUGGGGGGAGUAUGGUCGCAAGGCUGAAACUUAAAGGAAUUGACGGAAGGGCACCACCAGGAGUGGAGCCUGCGGCUUAAUUUGACUCAACACGGGGAAACUUACCAAGGCCAAACAGAGGUGGGAUUGACAGAUUGAGAGCUCUUUCU
Molecule: ribosomal RNA, 621 nt
Filed under: uncultured marine eukaryote
Lineage: Eukaryota
Description: SSU rRNA
Rfam family: Eukaryotic small subunit ribosomal RNA
Source: RNAcentral